ACUUCAUCAAACGGAAAAGGUUUUACGUAAGGUAAAUUAAUAGGGAAUCAUGUGUAAAUCAUGAGCUGUCGCGCAACUGUAAUCAGCAUACCAAAAGUUCUGUCCCGGAUAUCCACUGCCAAAGAGCGGGAAGGAUGACAGAUACUGCUGUAAGCCAGGAGACCUGCCUGUUCUGAAUUGACAAU
This 185-nucleotide non-coding RNA is filed under the name Chryseobacterium gallinarum. The record is from RNAcentral. Lineage: Bacteria; Pseudomonadati; Bacteroidota; Flavobacteriia; Flavobacteriales; Weeksellaceae. RNAcentral also lists the same sequence under 1 other name.